GCUCCCUCCAGCAGACAGACUCCUGGAGACACGAUCAACAGAAUCACAGCGGGAUCACGAGUUUCAGGAAACGACACACAAGAGACUGAACGCUAAGGAACUUACUAACUCGGCUGAAAGAAGAAACUGAGACUCAGGAAGGAGGAGGAAGGGACUUGCCCUGGCCACCCAGCUAAUAACCCCUCGGCUUCGUUGAUGGGCACCUUCACGCUGCCUUUUCACCAAAGCCAUGCCGGACCAGGAGGGUUAAACACAGCCUCCAGAAAGAGGAAGAAGCCGAGAGAGAGAAGGAGGGAGACCAGAGAAGAAACGGUGACUCUCUCUGGGUGGAGGGAUCAGAGUCAAAGAAAAUAUUCUGUGUCUAUGUGUGUGUGCACAAGGCAUCACCAUUUUAAGACUCAACUGUGGGACCUCGCUGGCGGUCCAGUGGUUAAGCAUCCAGCUUUGAUCCCUGCUCGGGGAACAAGGAUCCCACAAGCUGUGGAGCACCUAAGCGCAUGUACCGCAACUAGAGGACCCGUGAGCAGCGGUGAGGAUCUCAGGUGCCACGACCAAGACCUGCCACAGCCAAAUAAGUGAAUAAAAAAUAAAAAGACUCAACUGCCUCUUGCGAUGUCUCAGCAAUUCAGUGUCUGGGAACUGUCAGCAUGUCCGCUUUUCCUGAGACGUGACCCUCGAUCUUCUGGUGUUUGGUGUUUCUGUCUCUGGGCUGCUGGCAUGCCGCGAGAACUAGCCACCCCCCUUCGUUUGACACCUGGCUAUGCCUCCUGCAGAGGACCGCCGUGUAGCCCCGCUCCCUGGCUUUCUCUCCCCACCACGAGAACGCCUGUCCAGAGCAAAGCCCCACAGAGUUAGACACGGAGGCGCCCAAGCCACCAGCCUUCCCACAACCCGUGAUGCAGACAGAAAAGACUGUGGCCAAAACAGGGCUUCUGCCUUCUCCUUUGGUAGGGUGCUCUAGAAACCAGGGUGAGGUGGCGUAAAAAGACCUCUGGAGCCUCAGGAAGUGAGUUCUCCCAACUCACGGUGUCUGUGCCCUUGAACAGGUUCUGAGACACAGUUUCUUCAACUACAUGCCUUUAUCAAUUUUAUUUCUGCAGAGUGAUUAUGGAAAUUAACUAAAUUAAAGGUAACUCCCAAACCACCACGCCCAUACAUAUGUGACAUGCCCAAGUCCAUGAGACUUAUGGCUGUUGUCACUGCAAUACACUCAAUCUUAGCCCAAAGGCCAAGAAGCAAUGGUAUUACUGCAAGUGAAUCAAAGUGAUACAUAUAAAUUCACCUUGGGACAUUCACUUUGGUUUCAAAUCACUUUUUCUCUCUCUCCAUCUCAGUAUAUAAUACAAAAUACUUGCUUCCCCCAAGAAAUGGUUUCUAGGCAGGACCCAUACGGACACCUCACUAAGCGGUCUGUAUUAAAUCUCCAAUCUUGCAUUGCUGGGGAAAAAAAAAAAAGUGUCUCAGUCCCAAGAAGUGUUCAGGUUUUGAGUGAUGUCAGAGGCCUCUGAACAAGCCUUAUAAACGACAUCCAUAUUUGUCCAUUUCUGACUUAAAUUGCUUUUGGUUCAACCGCUGCCAUGAAUUGCCUUGAUGCGGUAUCAUCCAGGAUGACAGAAAACACAGAGGAAGCGGCAAGUUGCUGGCGAGGAUUAGGAAAUAAAGGAGUCACUGCCUCAUCCAGUUCUCCAAGGGUUAGAAGCAAGGAAAAUGAAACUCGCCUUGAAAGGUAAUCUCCAUGAACCGUGAUAAGAGCAGCUGACAUUUUACAUAGCGCAAGCCUUCUAGUUCAGCCUGGCCAUUCCAAUAAAAGCCAUCUACAUACAGCUCACUGUUGCUGUUUUUUAAAUGUUUCUACAUGUUGCUUUGUCUUCUGCUCCUCUCUUCCUGCCUAAGCAGCAAAGAACAAUCUGUUCUGGACCUUCUCGUUAAUAUGAUCUGGGCUCUGGUUUCCAAAGCACUGGAUGAAGGAGCUUCUACAUUUGGAGAAUAACCUCCAUUUCUCUCUUCUACUCUACUUCCCCAUCCAUCUUUCAUCUCUUUCUGCUAACCUCUGACUCUGGUUAAAAAGAAAAAAAAAAAUGUUCUUGGCAAAGGUCCAUCUACUGCCUGGCUCCCUCAGCUAAGAAAUUCUAUUUCAUCUCAGUCCUGUGAUUAGGAAUCCAAACCACAGGGGCUUCGGAGGCAGAACAUAAUUAAGUUGGUCUGAAUUUAGAUACAAGAUCUUGGGUUCCAGCCUCAUCUCUGCCACUCGCCAGCUGCUACGCAUGCCCGCGACUCACCUUCUGCACCAGACAAGCGGUCUAACGCCAUCCACCCAGAGGGUCCUUGUGAGGAUUAAACGAGGUGCUGCCUGCGCAGGGCUCAUGGUGCUCACUCCCUGUCUUUCAAUCUGCAGGCAUGACUACAUGCCAGGAGCAGAGGUGUCUGAAGACACUGAGGCGGGACCCCUCCUUCCCAGAGUCAAGGACGUGCCCAGCCAGAGCUGGUCCAGGCGGGUCCAUGCGCACUGUGUUGCUCUGUCAUUAGCUGCUCAGUUGUGUU
Molecule: non-coding RNA, 2541 nt
Organism: Odocoileus virginianus texanus
Lineage: Eukaryota; Metazoa; Chordata; Mammalia; Artiodactyla; Cervidae
Source: RefSeq, a predicted model, not a curated record